AUGUUUGGCCAUAUCACCCUGAACUUGACGAUCUCGGAACUUCCGAUCUCGUCUGAUCUCGGAAGCUAAGCAGGGUCAUGCCUGGUUAGUACUUGGGUGGGAGACUGCCUGGAAAUACCGGGUGCUGUAGGCU
RNAcentral lists this ribosomal RNA (133 nucleotides) under Theropithecus gelada (gelada). The record is from RNAcentral. Lineage: Eukaryota; Metazoa; Chordata; Mammalia; Primates; Cercopithecidae.